GGCGGUCCUCGGUUGACACACCCUGGAAUCAGGCUCCCUCCUCUCUUAUUCUGGGGUUUGUCACCCGAUAACCUCC
Myotis brandtii (Brandt's bat) is the source of this 76-nucleotide non-coding RNA. Lineage: Eukaryota; Metazoa; Chordata; Mammalia; Chiroptera; Vespertilionidae. The record is from Rfam.